Molecule: ribosomal RNA, 193 nt
Filed under: uncultured Enterobacterales bacterium
Lineage: Bacteria; Pseudomonadati; Pseudomonadota; Gammaproteobacteria; Enterobacterales
Description: partial 16S ribosomal RNA
Rfam family: Bacterial small subunit ribosomal RNA
Source: RNAcentral
GGGGAUAACUACUGGAAACGGUAGCUAAUACCGCAUAACGUCGCAAGACCAAAGAGGGGGACCUUCGGGCCUCUUGCCAUCAGAUGUGCCCAGAUGGGAUUAGCUAGUAGGUGGGGUAACGGCUCACCUAGGCGACGAUCCCUAGCUGGUCUGAGAGGAUGACCAGCCACACUGGAACUGAGACACGGUCCAG